AUGCGCCCACCCCGACUCCCCCUCCCUCACUGUAUCCAUCCCACCACACCGCAGCCGCUCAGACCGCCCCGCCCCCGAAAGAAGGCGCAAAUUGCAGACGGGUCCACGGAUCGAUCCCCAAUCCCAAUCUUCCCGGCCGCCGCGAUGGGCAUCUCCAGCAUGCCGGCGCCCAAGGAGAGCCUCCUGAUCUACCUGCUCUACCACGCCGUCGUCUCGAUCGCCGCCCUGGCGGGCCUCCUCCGCGCCGCGCUCGUCUUCCUCGGCCUCCCCGCGCCGCCCUCGCUGCUGGCCGGCGAGGACGCCGACGGCGCCGACCAGCUCACGGCGGCCACCCCGGCGGGCCCCAGCCUGGCGGAGCGGUUCAGGAGCAGGUUCCGCCCCGCGCGGUUCGGCCGGAGAAGGGGCGCGGCGGCGUCGGCGACACCCGACUGCCGCGUCUGCCUGGUGCGGUUCGAGGCCGACGCCGUGGUGAACCGCCUCCCCUGCGGCCACCUCUUCCACCGCGCCUGCCUCGAGACCUGGCUGGACUACGACCACGCCACCUGCCCGCUCUGCCGCUCCCGCCUCCUCCCGGCCGCCGCCUCCGCCGCCGACGAGUCGUGGUCGCCGCCGGCGCCCACCCUGACGGCCUGGAUUUAG
RNAcentral lists this ribosomal RNA (639 nucleotides) under Triticum aestivum (bread wheat). RNAcentral describes it as "partial small subunit ribosomal RNA". The record is from RNAcentral. Lineage: Eukaryota; Viridiplantae; Streptophyta; Magnoliopsida; Poales; Poaceae.